CUUUCCCCAAUCUGUGAAGUAGCUAAUAAUAUAGAACAAAAUGCUCAAGAGAAUGAAAAUGAAAGCCAAGUUUCAACAGAUGAAAGUACAACAGUGGAAAGUUGGGGACAAAUGUUCUGCCAUUUGGUCAGAAGACGGUUG
This 141-nucleotide small RNA is filed under the name Homo sapiens (human). The record is from RNAcentral. Lineage: Eukaryota; Metazoa; Chordata; Mammalia; Primates; Hominidae.